GAGCCCGCCUGGAUAAUAGAGGAAUACAUUUCAAAUUUCAGAAGUCAGGAGUCCGCCUGGAGAAUAGAGACAUACAAUUUAAGUUUCGGAAAUCAGGAGCCCGCCUGUAUAACAGAGUCAGGAGCCCGCCUGGAUAACAGAGGAAUACAUUCAAUUUCAAGUUCAACAGUCAGGCGCCCACCUGGAGAACAAGGGAAAACAACUCAAGUUUCUAGGGAAAACAGUUUCGAAGGAAGACAGUUCGAGUUUCAGGGAAAAUGGUUCAAAGUGUAAGGGAAAAUAGUGUCAAGUAACAAGGGAGGACAGUUCAGGUUCAGCAAUCAGGCGCUCACCUGGAAAAAAAGGAAUUCAAUUCAGAAUGCAAUUCAGAAGUUGAUGAAGGAUGUGAGCUGCUCAAGACAUGGCCGAGGUCACAAGCACUACAUGUCCGGUCCUGACCUAGAAGCUGUAGAAGAACGAGCUAGCACCUGCAGCUAACAAAGUGUCAAGGUUCAAAUCUAAAGUCUGUAUGAAGAACCAUUCAAGACUCAAGAUCAAGCUUCAGAAGACUUAUAGAUAGGAAUCUUGUAGCUCGUAGUCGAUAGGCUUAGCUAGUCUUUUUCAUCUUUUGAUUUUUGAUGUAAUAACAGGGACCGCAGACCGGAACCUCGACGGAACGGCACCUCG
RNAcentral lists this long non-coding RNA (666 nucleotides) under Nicotiana tabacum (common tobacco). RNAcentral's name for it is "long non-coding RNA (NTAB_LNC002476)". Lineage: Eukaryota; Viridiplantae; Streptophyta; Magnoliopsida; Solanales; Solanaceae. The record is from RNAcentral.